CAGCCGCCGCGGUAAUACGUAGGUGGCAAGCGUUGUCCGGAAUUAUUGGGCGUAAAGGGCUCGCAGGCGGUUUCUUAAGUCUGAAGUGAAAUGCCCGGGCUCAACCCGGGAACUGCUUUGGAAACUGUCGAUCUGGAGUGUUGGAGAGGUAAGUGGAAUUCCUGGUGUAGCGGUGAAAUGCGUAGAGAUCGGAAGGAACAUCAGUGGCGAAGGCGGCCAUCUGGGACAACACUGACGCUGAAGCACGAAAGCGUGGGGAGCAAACAGGAUUAGAUACCCCUGUAGUCCCUGUCUCUUAUAC
This 301-nucleotide ribosomal RNA is filed under the name uncultured bacterium. RNAcentral's name for it is "partial 16S ribosomal RNA". It matches the Rfam family "Bacterial small subunit ribosomal RNA", at positions 509 to 807 of the family's 1533-position model. The record is from RNAcentral.